RNAcentral lists this ribosomal RNA (502 nucleotides) under uncultured bacterium. RNAcentral's name for it is "partial 16S ribosomal RNA". It matches the Rfam family "Bacterial small subunit ribosomal RNA", at positions 28 to 507 of the family's 1533-position model. The record is from RNAcentral.
GACGAACGCUGGCGGCGUGCCUAAUACAUGCAAGUCGAACGAACCGCGACUAGGUGCUUGCACUUGGUCAAGGUGAGUGGCGAUCGGGUGAGUAACACGUGGGUAACCUACCUCAUAGUGGGGGAUAACAGUCGGAAACGACUGCUAAUACCGCAUAGGACAUAGGAUCACAUGAUCCAGUGAGGAAAGGUGGCGCAAGCUAUCGCUAAGAGAUGGACCCGCGGUGCAUUAGCUAGUUGGUAGGGUAAAGGCCUACCAAGGCGAUGAUGCAUAGCCGGCCUGAGAGGGUGACCGGCCACAUUGGGACUGAGACACGGCCCAAACUCCUACGGGAGGCAGCAGUAGGGAAUCUUCCGCAAUGGACGCAAGUCUGACGGAGCAACGCCGCGUGAGUGAAGAAGGUCUUCGGAUCGUAAAGCUCUGUUGUUAGAGAAGAACAGCGCAUAGAGUAACUGUUAUGCGUGUGACGGUAUCUAACCAGAAAGCCACGGCUAACUACGUG